Molecule: long non-coding RNA, 9311 nt
Organism: Choloepus didactylus (southern two-toed sloth)
Lineage: Eukaryota; Metazoa; Chordata; Mammalia; Pilosa; Megalonychidae
Exons: 3
Source: RefSeq, a predicted model, not a curated record
UCCCCAAGAAGCUGUGGGCAAUGAGGUGAGCGCGCGCCCGGCAGGAGAGCCAUGAGGACGCGCGGCUGUUCCAAGCUUCCAGUGAAGGUGGAUGUGUAUUGCAGUAUGGGAGAGACGAACAGCGCCCAGGAGUAAACACAGCUAUGAAACGGGUAAAACUAACUCCUGGAAAAUAUGCUGUGACUGAAUUACGAAACAAGCUUUGAAAGUGCCAAGGCAGAGUCAUGGAUUGAAUUGUAUCCUCCACAAAAGACACACUCAAGUCCUGUGAUGUGAACGCCCUGUCCUGUGAAUGUGAACAUAUUUGUAACUAGGAUCUUCGAAGAUGUUGUUAGUUAAGAUGAGGCCAACUGGAUGGAGGUGGGUCCUAAUCCAGUAUCACUGGCAUUCUUAUAAGGAGAGGAAAUUUGGACACAGAGAAAGAGACAGAGAGAGAGAGACGGCCAUGUGACAGAGGCAGAGACUGAGUUACACCGCCAUAAGACAAGGAAUGCCAUGGAUUGCCUGAGACACGCCAAAAGCCAGGGGAGAGGCAUGGAAGGGAGUCUCCCCUUUAAGAAGAUUUUGAACUUCUAGUCUCCAGAACUCUGAGACAAAAAUGUCUGUUGUUUAAGCCAACUAAUUUGUGGUACUUUGACAGUGCUGGAAAACCAAGACAGGUGGUAAAGGGGGAAAAUGAUUAUUUUGCCUAAUUAGAAAAAUGCUUGAAAUUCAGCUGGUUCCAGCUUGUAAAAGACAAACUUGUGUCUUUGCCCCCUUCCAAUGCCCCAUGACACCCUAGUUGCCCUACUGUCAUUGGCACAGUCAAAACAAGCCCGAUUCUCCCUUCCUGGGCCUCUACUAAUGCCUCCUAGUAUCCAUAUUUUCAGCCGGAAUUAUAUUCUCUACCCUCAUCCUUCCUUUGGCACAACAGCUCCCCAGGGACUGGCAAUGCUCCAGUAUUUUCUGUUGGCACUGGUCCCUGCUUACCUUGGCCUGGCCCUUCAUCAGCACGAUGUUGGAGAUGACCGAAGCCUGCAAGCCCCCAGAUGGCUGCACAAGCUGAGCUGUGCUCAGCGACCGUGUCGGUCUUGACAUGCCCUGUGGUGAGGAAGCAGGAUGGACAGAAGACUCUUAAGAUUGUUUCCACUUUAAACAUUGUAUGACUUGAAGACUCAUCAGUGCUGAGGGCUUUCCUUUCUGCAUUCCUUGUGCCGAAGUAGCUGGGUGGUCCCUCCUCACUGAGAUGUGAGAUGCUGCAAGGUGGAACCAGGAGCCCGGGCUGCUGACUCCCAUGCCCAUGCUGUCUGCACAACACCUGAGCAAGGAGAUGGGAGGGCACAGGGGAGGAGAGCAUGGGCUCUGGUGUUGCCUGAGUUCAUAUGUUGCUGCUGUGCCACCUACUUAUUACAUAACCUUGGGAAGGUCAUUUAGCUUCUCUGAGCCUUUGUUUCCUCAUCUUUAAAAUGCAGAUAAUAACAAUACUUACCUCUUUGGGUUGUUGCUAUAACUGAAUAAAUGAAUCCACAUAAAACACAUAGCUCAAUGCCUGGCAGGUAGUAAACAUGGAAUGCAUAUUUGCUUUUAUUACUAACAUUCCUUAGCUAACCAACUCGUCCUCCUCUUCCCUGGCUUACCCUCCCUCUUACAGGUUGCAGCUGCUUGCACCUGGUUGGCUGAUCUCAAAGGCACCCAGGAAUUAUCCCAGGUCCCAUAGACUAAGACAUUCCCAGGUUAUCCAGCCACUGUGGAUCCCACCGUCCCUGCCUUCUUUACGGCAACAACCCUUCUCUAAUAAUCCCCUUGCUGCCUCCCAUGGAGUGGCUGUUCUGAGGACAAAAUGAAACCAUUCAUGGACAUCCAAGUGCUCCCUAAGCUUUGAGAGGUAAAUGAGGAAAGGCAAUAAAUAUGCCUCCCACACUGCUCCCCAAGGCAGAUGCUGCUAAUCAACUGAAACUCUCUUUUCAGGGUGGCCCCUCAGUCCUUUUCAACACAGCCCUCCAGGAAGCCCUUUCUUGUUAGCCUCAUGGCCUCCUGUCCCCAGGGACCUGGAAUCCUAAUGUAAAAGACAGUAAAGACAGGAGGUCAGCUAAGUCUCACCUGCACACAAUCCUUCACAACCCAGUGCUGGCUGCAGAUGUUCUAGGAUUUCCAGGAUGCUCCCAUGUGGCCCCAGAUACCGAAAAACCAAGUAGUGGGAAAAUUCUCUGUGCUCAGGGAGUCACUCGAGAAGCCAUCUUUCUGACACUGGGAUACCAAUGUUCCCAGUUUGCCAGUGGAAAACACAGUGGCUUAGGGAAUGGAAAGGAAGAGGGAAAUGAAGUUUAUUAAGCACCUGCUGUGUACCAUGCAGGGAGAAUCAAACAUCACUUGACUAUGAACCUGCCCUUGGAGAGCUCAUGGUCUUCUGGGGAGAGAAGACGCUAACAAAUAAUGACAUAGCAAGACAAUGUUUGGUGAGCCCUGAAAGAGAAGUAAAGAUGCCUCAUGAUGAACCUUCAUCACAAUGCUAGGUCCAUGCAAUUGGAGGGAUUAGGAGAGCUUCUGGGCAAGAAGGAGUGUUGGGAAGGUCCUUGAGGAUAGGAUAGUUUCUAGAGAUAGAGAUAAGAAAAAUAGGUGCAAGACGUGGCAGAUAGAGAGCAUUACAUGAUCAUUAAGUGGGAAGUUCCACUGGCAGGAGCUUAGGACAAGAGGAGCAGGCAUCAAGGCAGUCUGGGGUAAUAUGUGCAAGGGACUCUGUGCUUCCUAUCUGCUUAGCUCCCAACCUGCAAGCUGAUGCCCUGUGGUGGGAAGAGCCCAGACUACGGCAUCCCACAGGGCUUGGUUCAAAUUCUGGGCACUUAGGUUUUCAGAAAUAUGAACUCAGACAGCUACUCACUUUGCCGAGCCUCAGCUUCCUCACUGUAAGAUGGGGAUAAUAUUACAUCACUUGGAAACUUGUUUUACAAUUAGAGGCAAUGUUUGUAAAGUGAGUCACUGUAUCAUAGGGGUUGAAAGCACAGGCUUUGGAGUCAUAGGUCUGGCUUCAGGUACCAACUCUGCCUCUUACUAGCAAUGUAAACUAGCAUAAAUUCCUCAGCUUUCCCAAGCCCCAGUUCUCGUCUUCCUCUUAGGGUUGUUGUACAGAGUCAAUGAAGCCCUAUACAGGGCUUGCACGUAUGCAGUGCUCUCUCUGUUAGCUUUUAAUAGCAUAGAAGUGGUAGCAGUUGCAAGUUUCUGGCACAAGGGGGCGCUCUGCAAAUGAGCGUUACUAACGUGGUUCUUAGCCUAGAGGUGGCUGUAGUGGCGAACUGUGUCCCUGUUCUCUGUAAUUUGUGGGCCUGAGACCACUGAGGAAAGCCUUUUUAGCCACUGCUAAGUUGGGACCCUCCUCCUUUCCCUCUUCUUCCAUUCCCCCUCCCUUCAUUCUUACCACAGCCUUUCCUGCUGGGCAGUCCAGUUGUUGAGAGAGGGACUUCCUGUUACUACAGAGAGAAUAAGGCUGCCUGUCUGUGGAAGUUGCAGAGUUCUUGGUCAUUGGAAAAUCAAUUUCUCCUGUGCAGUAGGGAUUAACACCUAAACCGGGAGGGGAAAAAGAAGAAGAAAUCAUUUGUGCUCUCAAAAUACAAAGCUCAACUGGGAACAUUAUCAGCCUCUGCUGACUGCCAGGGGCCAGAGUGAACAUAAACCACUUAGUGUCCAGUGCCAGGUGCAUGGUGGGAAGAGGUGGCCGUGGGUGACAUGGGAAGCAUUUUCACUAUCUCCUUAUAUGCUUUCUGCACUGCAGGGUGCAGAGAAGACUCUCACAUCCUUCUCACUUCAAUUCAACUCAGCAUCUCCUACGUCUCAGGCGGUGUGCUAGACUCUCAGGAAGGCACAGUGCUAAGUCAAAUCCAGUCCUUGCUAUGCGAAUUUUCAAUACCAAACAAGGAGAGAAAGGAGGCAAGUGCAGAGGGUUCCCAGGACAGGCACAAACCAAAGGCUGCACAGGGAUGAACUUGGCAGGAACCUGGGAGGUCUGUCAGAGCAACAGCCAACUUCCUGAAAGGAUCUAAGCACUUCUUUUUAUUUUUUUUAUUGUUGAGGCAAAAUUCACAUAACAUAAAAUUAACCAUUUUAAUGUGUGUAAUUCUGUGGCAUUUAUUACAUUCACAAUGUUGUGCAACCACCACUUUAAUCUAGUCCUAAAAUAUUUUCAUCACCCCGAAAGAAAACCUUGCAACCACAACCCCUGGCAACCACCAAUCUUUUAGUCGUUGUUCACUUACCUGUUCUGCAUAUUUCAGAGAUUAGCUAUUAUAGCCUCUCAUUGUCUAGACCAGCACUGUCCAGUUCAAAUAUAAUGCAAGCUACAAAUGUGAGCCACAUAUGUAAUUUAAUAUUUUCAGUAGCCACACAUAAAAAAGUAAAAAGGAAAUAAGUGAAAUUAAUUUUAAUAAUAUAUUUUGUUUAGUCCAAUGCACCUGUUAUUUCAAUAAUCAUAAAAAUUAUUAAUGAGAUAUUUUACAUCCUACUGUCCCUCAGCUCAAGUGAAUGGGCAAGGCUUUUGUGGAAAAUUCCCUGAGAGGAAGAAGCAAGACUAAUUCAGAGGGAAUGGAGGUUGGAGCAGGGUUUUGGGUUUGCUUUUAUUCUUCUGUAUAGGAAAGACUUUUUAGGCUGAAAAGAAGCUAAAGAGAGGAAGCCACUGGCCAGGGUAGGUUAAAAAAAGGGAACAGAAUAGGUAUUCCUGAGGGUGUGAGAUCCCUAAAGGGGAGAAGAGAACAGGGACAAAGCAUGGUGGAGAAAGGAGAGGUCUUGGUCCCCCAGGGCUCAGAAAGUGGCUGGGGAAAUAUUUCCCCUCUAGGACAGCUGCUCCAUGUGCAGGUAGGAAGUCCUCCCUGACUUACAGAUACCAACUGCUCCCAGAUGGACCAGAAACAAAUGCAUUGGAAAACCAUGAAUUGGAAAGAGGAGACAGACUCAUGGAACAGGGUUAAAGAAGGUGACUAGAAAUUCUUUAAUCCUAAAUCUGCCGGUGCAUCAUAUUUAUCUGAAGUGUUUUAUAAAAACAUUUUGUAAAAAACUAACUCAGACCUCCUGAAUCAAUUUCUCCACUGGGGAUCUCUAUUUUUAUAAGGCUCCCCAGGUGAUGCAGCCAGCCUAUCAUCAGUUUGGGGACUGCCUGAUAAAACUCCUUACUUUAUCAGUGAGGAAGUGGAGGCUCAGGGGUUUCCAGAACCAUGAAUGAAAGAGUCAGAGCCAUAACCCAAGCCUCCUGGAUCCGAGUCCUGCCCUCUUGGCCCCCAUGCAAUGUAGUGUGACCUGUAAUCUGGAGGAGGGCAGCAGUGCAUGGUUGGGGCUUGGAGGGAAUAAGGGCAGGGUCUGGGGACAAACAAACUGCCAUCUUGGAGUGGCUGGCAGAGCAGAUCCACCUCAGAGAUGUGGGAAAGUGGAGUGGGAACAAGUCAGGCUGCUCCCAGCUCCUCUUCUGCCUACACCGACCCAAGCAACCCUCAAGCUUUGGGUGGAUCCUAUUUCAAUUGUGGGUUUAAAUCAUUGAGAAGAGCCAGAGUCAGGGCAGAGCAGGGUUUCCAAAGUUCUCACUGGUCUGAGCCCUCACCUCUUUCUGAAAAUUACCCAUGGAUGUGCUCCAGCUGACCAGGAAAUAUACUGAAACUAUCAUCUCAAGUUGGGGGAAUUAAAACCAGUUAAACAUUUAGUACGGAGUGAGUUCAUUGAAAAUAUGGUUAUAAAAUCCAAUGCAAAAAGCCAAAAUAACUUUUGAAAGGGAAGUUGUGUAUUAUGAUUACAUAACAAUGAUGACGUUGAUGAUGAUGAAUUUGUAAUUUAAGGUUAAGAUAAAUUAUGAAAUGGAGAAAGAAAUGGGAAGAGACACUGGAGAUGAAUAAAAUCAUUGUAAAUUCCUCAUUUUCAUAAAGGGGACAGUUUGGAAAAUAUAGCCUGAAGUAUAAACAAUUAAAUAAAAUAUACAGUUAAUUGAACCUAAUGGAAACAAAAAAUCAAGAUAAAAAUCAAACACAUCUUUCAAGUCACUGCAAAAACUACACACACACACACACACACACACACACACACACACUCACAUACACAAACAACCAAAACAUAGCUCAUAUAGCAAGAGGCAGAAGACAAAGUAAUGGCAAGUGACCAUGAAAACAUAAAAUAGAAAAAGAGAUAAGAGCAAAUAUUAUUUAUAAUAUUAAUGCAGUGGCUUGAGGUUCUCUCUUAAAAGAGAUUCCCAAAUUUGCUUUCAAGAUCUAACUAUAAACCAUUUCGAAGAUACAAACAAAAUAAACAAAAAAAUUAAGAGGAUGGGCAGGAAGAAAUUAUCAAUAAGUGACACUAGAAUCAUUCACCAGCCAUUUAGGAUUAAAAAAUUGAUCUAGGUGAUCAUAUCAAACCCAAAAAUCAAAUUACAGAUAUAAUAUGUUUGGGAACACAGAGGCAAACACUAGAAGAAAUUAUAGCCAAAUAUUUAUUCAUUCUCUGGAUAUGUAAGAAACUUCCAAGUUAAUAAGGAAAAGAGCAGUAAAUAUGAUUAGAUACAGAUUAAAACAUCUUCAUGUAAAAAUAAACACUUAAAAACAACAAAAUGGUGAAUAUUUUCAACAAAUAUGGCAGCCAAACAUUAAUUUAACCAAGAGUUUUGGGUUUUUUAAAUAAAUUAAUGAGAAAACAGUGAUUAUCCCAAUAGAAAAAUAGGGAAUUUCACUAAAGAAAGGAAGGAAGGGAGGAAGGGAGAGAGGAAGGAAGAAAAACAUGUUGCACUCCACCAGUAUGGAACGGUACUCUUCUCCACCCAUCAUAUCAGUCACAAUUUUGGCAAGAAACAGAAGGUACACUCAGCUGGGAUUUUGAGAAGACUUUAAUGAAGGGCCAUUUAUGGAGAGGCAGGCCAGGUUAAGGAAAAUAACAAGGGCUACCGAGGCACCUAAGAACCAAGCAAUGGCAGGAAGCUGUUACCACUGCAGACUGGAAGGGAUAAAAGAGGAUCUGGUGUUACCAGAGCCCAGUGAGAGCUGAAACCGUGGAAGGCAGGCCACCUUGACAGGAUAUUCAGUUACAGAGGGACACCACCACUGGAAGAACUGCAGCUCCGAGGCUGAGGGAAGAAGGGAAGAAACACCCCAGCAGCUCUCUCCUCCCUUCCUCCAAUCUCCUCUUGAUGCUUCCCUUUCCACUGGUUUAACUCAACCAGAAACCAGGAAGCCUGGGUAAUGUUUUCUGAAGGGGUCAGCACCCAGGGUGCAAGCCAGGCCAGCUUCAUGGGCAUUGCACCUGCCAGUCACACAGGGCUUGGAACUUAGAGGGACCCCAUGCUUAGUUUAAUGCUCUGCUAUUGCCAUUUUGAAAUUCUUAAUAAUUUUUGAACAAGGGCUCCACAUUUUCAUAGUGUGCUGAGCCCUGCAAAUUAUGUAGCCAGCCCUGGGUGCAGAGCAGAAAAAAGCAGAGAAUGGAUGGGGGAGAAGGGGAAUAUAGAAAAACCUAUAUAACAAAAAAUUUUUAAAAUUAUAAUCCAGUGUGUAGACUAUGGUUGAAGAAAUAAGCAUGCACAUACAUUACUAGAGAAGUGUUAGUUUGUGAAAUUUGACAGUACAGUUGAAAAGCCUUUAUCUAUACUACCUUUGGGCCCAAAAUCCAAUUCUGAGAAAUUAUGCUAAAGGGAAAAACAGUGAAAAUUUAUGAUAGAAAAGCAAUUAGCGAUCCAAAAAUAGGAGCUGAUUAAUUUAAUGAUGAUGCAACCUACAACAAAAUAGAGUGCAGCUUAGAGAGUUUAAGGGAAUUGUUCAAGGCCACACAGAUAAUUAGUGCUGGAAGCAAGAUCCAAAACCAAAGACUUUGACUCCCAAAUGUGAACUCUUAACCAUGGCACUACUCUACUGUCUCUUAUAUUACUCUAAGGAAAUCUCAAACAAAAUUUCAUAUACAAACUCAGCAGUGUUGACUAUGUUAGUGAAAAACUGAGAAUAACUUAAAUAUCUAAUAAGAGAGAGUUGGUUAACUAGAUGAUACAUUCAUACAAUGAAAUCCCAUGCAUCCACUAAAAAUGAUGUUUACAAAGAUUUUCCAAUGACAAGGAAAAGUGUGUGUGUGUGUGUGUGAGAGAGAGAGAGAGAGUUUUCUAUAGGUAUAGGAGGGAAAUAAUUGACUGAAAUUGUCUCUAAUAUUGGGAUUUGGUGUGACUUAAUUUCUUCAUGCUUUUCUGUACUCUUCAAAUUUCAUGAUUUUGCAUUAGCACUAUUCUAUUUGGAGCAACCAAGAAUAGUGAGAUCUUCCAGCUUCAAUCCACAUAUCAUAUUAUAAAUGAGGUGACAGAGGCCCAGGGAGAGAGAGAGAGACUGCUCUCCCCAGAUCAAGGAGCAUCUUGGAAGAUAGACCAGGAGUCAAGCCCAUGUCUCCUGUCCUCCAUGCCUAGGUGUUUCUACUGUGGCACUUGGAGUUCAUCUGGAGGAGGAACUCUAAAUUCAAUGAAGAAUGCCCUCAGAGAGGCAAGCACACCACAAUUGUGGUUUAGUCCAAAUGGACCAGCAGAGAUCCAACCUCCUCCAAAUCUCUCAACAUCACUAAUGCCCUGAUAGUCAGGAACAGAUAAACUCUGUUCCUGAAAGCAUUUUAAUGAGACACUUACUGGUUGAAUUGCUGCGUGUCCUUUGGUGACAGGCUUUGGGGGACAUGAAGUUAUUAUUUUGUGCUUCUGGUUUUCCAGGCUUUUCUCUAGAGGAAGUUGUGGAAGACUCCUGCAAAACAAUUUCCAUAUCUUUUAUUCAGCAAGUAAGGAUAGAAAAAUAUACUUAAAAAACUGGGUUUUUUGACACUGACCAUGGAAGUACUUGAAUUGUCUGUCUUCCCCACUAAAUUACUGGCAGAGAUUUAUAAUCACUGCCAUUCAGAGAAAAGCAAAAUAAAAACCACAAUGAGAUAUCAUUUUACACCCAUUAGAAUGGCUGCUGUUAAAAAAUAACAGAAAAUAACAAGUGUUGGAGAGGAUGUGGAGAAAGAGGAACACUCAUUCAUUGCUGGUGGCAAUGGAAAAUGGUGCAGCAACUGUGAAAGAGUUUGGUGGUUCCUUUGAAAGCUAAAUAUUCAACUACCAUAGGACCUGGCAAUCCCACUACUAGGUAUAUACCCAAAGAAUUGAAAGCAGGACCUAGAACAAUAGUGUUAUUAUUCACAAUUGCCAAAAGAUGGAAACAAACCCAAGGGUCCAUCAAUCAAUGAAUGGAUAAUUAAAAAAUUGUAUGAUCCACUGCUUUGGAACAAUUAGACUAAUUAAACUCAUAGAGUCAGAAUCUAGAACAUAGAUUACCAGGGAUUGGGUGGGGAUAGGGAAUGAGAAGUUAAGGCUUAAAAUG